AUGAACAGGCAAGAUGGCAGUCUCCGAUCCCUCAGCAAAGAAGCUGAUUAUCAAGAAAGGCAGGUAUCUGCUGCAGCAUGCUCACAGCUAGCAGGUAAAAGCAUCUCCGGAAGAAUAAGGAGCUCCUUAUGUGUCUGUGUCGAACACAGAGAGAAAACCAAGUUAAACCAAACCCCAAACCAACUAAUAUUUGUAAAUCUUACUGUACUGUUCAGAAUCCAUUUUCUUUACACGUGCUGGCCACCCUUACCAUUUACUGAAGGUUUCAUUAUCACCAAGCCAUACACUUCAGAACCACUGGAACUGAAUUCCCAUUACUGUUCUGCAGCUCAUCCAUUUUGCUCCUCCGUUUUCCAGUGAUACCUGCUCAUUUUAUCUUUCUCCAUUUGUGAUAUAAGCUGGUAGCUGCUACUCCAGGCUCCAUGUCACUGUUUCUCCAGCCUUUAGGCAUCUGUUUUAUUCUUUCUGUGAUAGCCACAGGUAGAUAUCUUUCAUCAUUCAAUUAUUUUUCUUUUAGUUUUUGUUACUCCUUUUUUGAUACCUGAAGUUUCUCCCAUUUUGUGCCGUGCUACUUCCAAGUGCAGCCUCCUGAACUGCUGGGUUAAUAUUUGACUGUGGUUGGGCAGAGGCAGUGGGGUUCUGCCACUCUGCUUGGCCAGCCCUCUUCUUGCUACACUGCAGUCAGUGUAACUGUGGUGGUGAGUAUUUAAGCUUAAGAUUGGUUAAAUGCUUCACUGGGAUGGGACAACUAUGGGCUUGUUAUUGCAAGGAUCUGAAAGGCAUUCUCUCUACCUAUUCCUUGUGUUUACUUUCCAGGCUUUUUGUGUGGGUUUGUUCUGUUUUUCUCUUAAGUGCUUCUGGUGUCUGCAAAUUCCUAAGCAGUGAAGACCAGUAAGAUGCAAACUCCUUCAAAUCGGUGCAGCCUGUUGGGUAACUUAAAAAAAAAAAAAAAAGUCUUAUCAUGAUAGUGGUUUUCACUGUGGUCAUGGCCCUGGGGUUAUUUUAUGCCCUGAUGUGACCAUUGUCAUUACAGCUUGUGGCUGAAAACUUGGCAAUAUGGAUAUCCAGAUAACCAUGUUCUUCCUUCAUCAUUUGCACUGUACUCUUGUGCUUCAGGUCACUGCCUUGGGCUGAAGCUUGGUUCACCACAGUGUCACAACACUGUGACAUUCUUACAAAUCAGUACUUGAUUUUUUUUAUCCAAGCCAAUCUGUGCUAGGU
RNAcentral lists this long non-coding RNA (1221 nucleotides) under Ficedula albicollis (Collared flycatcher). Its description in RNAcentral is "lncRNA (ENSFALG00000025559.1)". The record is from RNAcentral. Lineage: Eukaryota; Metazoa; Chordata; Aves; Passeriformes; Muscicapidae.